CUUAAAGAUACUGAUCUCAUUGAAAACACUUCUUAAAGAUACUGAUCUCAUUGAAAACACUUCUUAAAGAUACUGAUCUCAUUGAAAACAUCACAUCGUUAAAGAUAUGUUUUGCAAGAAAAGACUUGGGUCAGGUGGCUUUCCACAAGCUUCCUACAAUAAGUUGGGUGAAUUGUGGCCCAUUCCUCCUGACAGAGCUGGUGUAACUGAGUCAGGUUUGUAGGCCUCCUCGCUCGCACACACUUUUUCAGUUCUGUCCACAAAUGUUCUAUAGGAUUGAGGUCAGGGCUUUGUUGUCUUGACUUUGUUGUCCUUAUUAAGCCAUUAAGCCAUUUUGCCACAUCUUUGGAAGUAUGCUUGGGGUCAUUGUCCAUUUGGAAGACCCAUUUGCGACAAAGCUUUAACUUCCUGACUGAUGUCUUGAUGUUUCUUCAAUAUAUCCACAUCAUUUUCCUACCUCAUGAUGCCAUCUAUUUUGUGAAGUGCAUCAGUCCCUCCUGCAGCAAAGCACCCCCACAACAUGAUGCUGCCACCCCCGUGCUUCACGGUUGGAAUGGUGUUCUUCGGUUUGCAAGCCUCCCCCGUUUUCCUCCAAACAUAACGAUGGUCAUUAUGGCCAAACAGUUUCAUCAGACCAGAGGACAUUUCACCAAAAAGUACAAUCUUUGUCCCCAUGUCCAGUUGCAAACCGUAGUCUGGCUUUUUUAUGGCGGUUUUGGAACAGUGGCUUCUUCCUUGCUGAGCGGCCUUUCAGGUAAUAUAGGACUCGGUUGAUAUAGGACUUGUUUUACUGUGGAUAUAGAUACUUUUGUACCUGUUUCCUCCAGCAUCUUCAUAAGGUCCAUUGCUGUUGUUCUGGGAUUGAUUUGCACUUUUUGCACCAAAGUACGUUCAGCUCUAGGAGACAGGACUGAUCUCCUUCCUGAGCAGUAUGAUGGCUGCGUGGUCCCAUGGUGUUUAUGCUUGCGUACUAUUGUUUGUACAGAUGAACGUGGUACCUUCAGGCGUUUGGAAAUUGCUCCCAAGGAUGAACCAAUUUUUUUUCUGAGGACUUGGCUGAUUUCUUUUGAUUUUCCCAUGAUGUCAAGCAAAGAGGCACUGAGUUUGAAGCCUACCCCAGCCAAACCCUGCCCUGACCUGGGCCAAUUGUGUGCCGCCUAAUGGGACUCCUGAUCAUGGCCGAUUGUGAUACAGCCCGGGAUCGAACCAGGAACUAGAGACGCCUCUAGCACUGAGAUGCAGUGCAUUAGACCGCUGCGCCACUCGGGACUCAAUAUAUGCACCUAUUAACACAUGCUUCUGUUUGUACAUUUCCAUUUAACAUUUAACUCUUUAAU
Long non-coding RNA from Oncorhynchus tshawytscha (Chinook salmon), 1337 nucleotides. The record is from Ensembl. Lineage: Eukaryota; Metazoa; Chordata; Actinopteri; Salmoniformes; Salmonidae.